AUCUAAAUAGCUUAUAUUUAGAGCAUAAUAUUGAAGAUAUUACGGAAAUUUUAUUAUUUUUAGAUA
Molecule: transfer RNA, 66 nt
Filed under: Tenerus flavicollis
Lineage: Eukaryota; Metazoa; Arthropoda; Insecta; Coleoptera; Cleridae
Description: tRNA-Phe
Source: RNAcentral